ACAAUGGAGAGUUUGAUCCUGGCUCAGGACGAACGCUGGCGGCGUGCUUAACACAUGCAAGUCAAGGAGAACAUUUUCUUCGGAAAACUAUUAAACUGGCGAACGGGUGAGUAACGCGUAGGUAAUCUACCCUGGAGAUUGGGAUAACCCCGGGAAACCGGAGCUAAUACCGAAUAAUGCAGCGGAUCCUUCGGGAUAUGUUGUUAAAGCGGGCUUUUGCUCGCACUUUAGGAUGAGCCUGCGUCCGAUUAGCUUGUUGGUGGGGUA
Molecule: ribosomal RNA, 267 nt
Filed under: Prochlorococcaceae cyanobacterium ETNP14_MAG_5
Lineage: Bacteria; Bacillati; Cyanobacteriota; Cyanophyceae; Synechococcales; Prochlorococcaceae
Description: partial 16S ribosomal RNA
Rfam family: Bacterial small subunit ribosomal RNA
Source: RNAcentral